This 200-nucleotide non-coding RNA is filed under the name Sinorhizobium alkalisoli. Lineage: Bacteria; Pseudomonadati; Pseudomonadota; Alphaproteobacteria; Hyphomicrobiales; Rhizobiaceae. RNAcentral also lists the same sequence under 1 other name. The record is from RNAcentral.
UUAGAUGGGGACACUCGAGGUGCCGCCCUGAAGCGGGCGGAGAAUUGGGAAGCCGGUCAAAUCCCGGUGCUGCCCCCGCAACGGUGGUGGAGUGAAGCCACGGCGAAGGCCACUGGACGGGAAUGUCCGGGAAGGCGCCGGGCGGGUCCUUGGCGGGACGGCUCCAGAGCCCGGAAACCAGCCUUGAGCACAUCGACCGU